Molecule: ribosomal RNA, 443 nt
Filed under: uncultured bacterium
Lineage: Bacteria
Description: partial 16S ribosomal RNA
Rfam family: Bacterial small subunit ribosomal RNA
Source: RNAcentral
CCUACGGUGGGCUGCAGUGGGGAAUAUUGGGCAAUGGGCGCAAGCCUGACCCAGCAACGCCGCGUGAAGGAAGAAGGCCCUCGGGUUGUUAACUUCUUUUAUCAAGGACGAAACAAAUGACGGUACUUGAUGAAUAAGCCACGGCUAACUACGUGCCAGCAGCCGCGGUAAUACGUGGGUGGCAAGCGUUAUCCGGAUUUACUGGGUGUAAAGGGCGGGUAGGCGGGACUGCAAGUCAGAUGUGAAAACCGUGGGCGCAACACAUGGCCUGCAUUUGAAACUGUAGGUCUUGAGUGUUGGAGAGGCAGGCGGAAGGCGGGGUGUAGCGGUGAAAUGCGUAGAUAUACGGAGGAACACCAGUGGCGAAGGCGGCCUGCUGGACAAUAACUGACGCUGAGGCGCGAAAGCGUGGGGAGCAAACAGGAUUAGAUACCCCUGUAGUC